Molecule: ribosomal RNA, 255 nt
Filed under: uncultured bacterium
Lineage: Bacteria
Description: partial 16S ribosomal RNA
Rfam family: Bacterial small subunit ribosomal RNA
Source: RNAcentral
UACAGAGGGUGCGAGCGUUUAAUCGGAAUUACUGGGCGUAAAGCGCGCGUAGGCGGCUUUGCAAGUCGGGUGUGAAAUCCCCAGGCUUAACCUGGGAACUGCAUUCGAGACUGCAUUGCUAGAGUAUGGGAGAGGGAAGUGGAAUUUCCGGUGUAGCGGUGAAAUGCGUAGAUAUCUGGAGGAACACCGGUGGCGAAGGCGGGUCUCUGGGGCAACAACUGACGCUGAGGAGCGAAAGCGUGGGGAGCGAACAGG